CAUUUACGCGAUAUUAAGCUUUCCAGCGUAUUACUCUGAUUGUCCAUCUUUGGACGCCGAGUGGCUCCUGUCCACUCUGCUUUGACGCCUCCCUGUUAUCAACUUCAAAGCCGCCGGCAACGGCGGCUCUUUUUUU
This 136-nucleotide small RNA is filed under the name Rhodopseudomonas palustris BisB18. RNAcentral's name for it is "Alphaproteobacterial sRNA BjrC1505". It matches the Rfam family "Alphaproteobacterial sRNA BjrC1505". The record is from Rfam by way of RNAcentral. Lineage: Bacteria; Pseudomonadati; Pseudomonadota; Alphaproteobacteria; Hyphomicrobiales; Nitrobacteraceae.